Non-coding RNA from Trichomalopsis sarcophagae, 45 nucleotides. Lineage: Eukaryota; Metazoa; Arthropoda; Insecta; Hymenoptera; Pteromalidae. The record is from Rfam.
UAAUUGGCCCUUUUCAGGGCCACCAUAUAAAUUUUACACAUGAAA